AAAAAAGCGUUUGAAGAAAGCUAAAUCUUGCAAUAAUACUACAGAGAGCCAAUGUUUGGUGGAAAUUGGUGUAAAAAAGAGAUGUUCCACUUUCUGAGCUGCUUGGUGAAAGCCAAGAGGGUAAGCCCUUUAUUGCUGUUUUGAGAGGCUUAUAUAAAUAAGCAAUUUGGGUGGCAACACGGGAGAACUGCUCUCGUCCCUUUU
Molecule: non-coding RNA, 204 nt
Filed under: Clostridium sp.
Lineage: Bacteria; Bacillati; Bacillota; Clostridia; Eubacteriales; Clostridiaceae
Description: T-box sequence
Rfam family: T-box leader
About the family: Uncharged tRNA acts as the effector for transcription antitermination of genes in the T-box leader family. T-boxes are found upstream of many aminoacyl-tRNA synthetase genes and some amino acid biosynthetic genes usually in Gram-positive bacteria.
Source: RNAcentral